AACUAACAUUGGCGGUAGGCCUAACACAUGCAAGUCGAACGGCAGCACGGGAGCAGUCCUGGUGGCGAGUGGCGAACGGGUGAGUAAAGUAUCGGAACGUACCUUUCAGUGGGGGAUAACGUAGCGAAAGUUACGCUAAUACCGCAUAUUCUGUGAGCAGGAAAGCAGGGGAUCGCAAGACCUUGCGCUGAUUGAGCGGCCGAUAUCAGAUUAGCUAGUUGGUGAGGUAAAGGCUCACCAAGGCGACGAUCUGUAGCGGGUCUGAGAGGAUGAUCCGCCACACUGGAACUGAGACACGGUCCAGACUCCUACGGGAGGCAGCAGUGGGGAAUUUUGGACAAUGGGCGCAAGCCUGAUCCAGCCAUGCCGCGUGAGUGAAGAAGGCCUUCGGGUUGUAAAGCUCUUUCGGCCGGGAAGAAAUCGUGUGGGUUAAUACCCUGCAUGGAUGACGGUACCGGAAUAAGAAGCACCGGCUAACUACGUGCCAGCCGCCGCAGUAA
Molecule: ribosomal RNA, 500 nt
Filed under: uncultured bacterium
Lineage: Bacteria
Description: partial 16S ribosomal RNA
Rfam family: Bacterial small subunit ribosomal RNA
Source: RNAcentral